This is a long non-coding RNA of Rhodamnia argentea, 2429 nucleotides long. RefSeq lists it as uncharacterized. The transcript is spliced from 3 exons. The record is from RefSeq and is a predicted model, not a curated record. Lineage: Eukaryota; Viridiplantae; Streptophyta; Magnoliopsida; Myrtales; Myrtaceae.
AUCUCUCAGCCCAAUAUUCUUCUAGGGAUCGGUGGUGGAGCAAGAAAGGGGCUCAAUUCUCCUAUAAAUACCACCCCUAUCCUACACCCUUUUCUAACCUUCACCUACUUCUUCUUCCUCUCUCUCUCUCUCUCUCUCUCUUUAGCUUUUAGGGUUUUGAUGGGUGUCCAGUGAAUGGUCCUCUUUGUAUUCUUCCACAGCUUUCUUGAACUGCAUAUAUUAAAUUGGGAUCUUUCUGAAGCAAGUGUACACUCUCGCACUCUUUCAACAAGUCCUUGUUUCAAUUGCGGUUCAAGCUAGCUGUGGGAAGAUACAAACAGGGCCAGGCGAAAAUUCUCCAUCCGAAUCGCCUCCCGUGUGUGUGGAUCGUUGCCGUAUUCUUGAGUCAAAUCUGGACUCUGGCCUCGCGCAUCGUCAUUGCCUUUGCGAUUGAACGUGGUUUUCACCGGAGAGGGAAUUUUCUUGUACCCUUUCAUUUUCUUCUGUAUUUCUCUAGUAUACAAGUCUGUAAUAUUCUUGAUGAUGUUCACCUGCACAUGUUUGCAGAGCCGCGCAUUUCUCUCGGUUUGCUUUCCCAGGUAUGUAACAACGAAGUGAGUCCCACGAGCCAUGUCUGAUUUGGGUGCUAAGAAAAUGUGCAUUCGAUGAAGAGGUUAGACGGAUUGCUUGUUCAUAUGUGCGCGUCAUCCGUUACAUUGCUGAAUGUCACGAGAACAAAGCUAAGCUAUAUCUUUGCUUUUUGGUGGAUUAUCGUAAUUCAAUUGCAAGGAAUCUCUCUUACUUUGAUCUAAAUUGAGCCGUCCCGCUCAAUCAAACUUGUUGAGGGUUUUGGGGCAAUUUAUCUCGAGGGUAACUGGGUGGAUGAAAUCUUGAUUAUGAAACAAGAAACCAGAAAUAUAGAUGAACCAACUUGCAAAAAAAUGGCCUUUCUUUCGGGACCCCAUGAAACCCCCAUGAAAAAUAAAGUCUGAUGCAAAAAGGAAAUUAGGGUUUCCUUUUGUACAUGAGGUUAAAGACAAGAGAGGCAAGAAAGGUCCCCCUCUAUAUAUGACUUUGCAAAUAACAAAAAAAGCAAAAAAUUGUUUUGUCUUGGUUAGAACUGAUGUGUCUAUGAUAAGAUUCUCAUGUUCUUGCCGGCCUCUCCUGUUGAGGAAGUGAAGAUCAAAGUUUCUUUAAUAUGAGGUUCUUCUUUCCAAAAUCAAAACCCUAAGCCAGAUGAAAACUAUCAUUAACUUCCAAUGCAAAUUGUUGCAUUUUGAAAUUUAGAUCAGAUCUAACGAAGGGUCCGGCGAAUUAUCGUGUGUGGAUCUUUUUAAUAAUUCCUUAGCGGAAUUGAUUAUUCGAGAAUCGAGACCGCAAGUAUAAUAUGAUUUGGCUAGUUCAAUAGUAGACACACUUUGCUUUGCUUUACUUGUUUAUUAUGGCUUAAUAUUGCUGGAAUCGCUCAUCUUUUUGUAAAUUGCGUUAUUCUUUUCACUCAUCCAAGAUGAUCGAUUGACUUUACUUUAUUUCUCCUAUUGGUGCUCCCUCUUUCUAUAUCAAAAUAUAUUGUUCUUUUGCUGCUCCCUCUUUUGCUGAUUCGGUCGGCAAAAGUGACAAUAAAGAAGUAAUUUGCGAGGUUGAAUAUGAAUAGAUUUAACAAUGCGUAGUUGUUUGUUAACUAUAGUAUAUGUCCUUUGCUCAAUGUUCAAUUUAUGAACUUUUCAAAAGGAGAGAACGAAAAGUUCGAUCUUGCAAUAAACAAGUCACCACAGUGGUGUUUUCUUUAUGCAAUCCUAUGGUAAUGCUUUCAUUUCACAAGGAAAGAUAACGAGAUUCACAAAAGCUAAAUCUAAUCUCCAUUCUUUUGUUAUGAUAUGAUAAAGUCCGACCAACAUUAUUACCUACCAAUUACUUUCUAAUUCAUUUUUCUCCUCCAAUAAUGAUACAUGAGAAACUAAAAUUAUAAGAUAAAUGCAUUACACGGCAAACAAGUCGGACCGGCCAAUGAAGAACGAAACUUAGGUGCAACCAGAUGCCCGAAUACUGUGAAUAUUGUAGACCUUACAUGUUUUUAUCAAUGAUCUUUGAACCCAAGACAAUAAAUGUAUGUGAAAACAACAUGUGGAAAUAAGAAUGGCACAUAUGAGGGCUAUCUAGGUCUUGCACGUUUUAGGUUUUUUGAAUUUGAAUCAAGCCUACCAGUCUAAAGUCAGACUAUAACUUCCCUUAACCAGCUAGUCUAGUUGAUUAAUCAAAUAUUUCUAUGUAAUAACCGCAUUGUUUACCUCAAAACCCUAGGAAAGAUCCUUUCUAGACAAUACACAUCUAUGGAAAGCCUUCUAUUUUCUCUCUCGUUUAGUACACACAUCUUUAAAUUUGUGGUGAUAUAACGCGGCGUCAUCGCGAAAUGUUGUUGGAGGAAAAUUGUUUCCUAAUACAAUGUAGAA